GGAGACGCCGACCGAUUCGGCUCCGUCCACCCCGCUAAGGUGGAGUUCCCGUAAGGGAACCGAGCGUUCAAAUCCCUCCGUCUCCGCCA
RNAcentral lists this transfer RNA (89 nucleotides) under Microbacterium invictum. Its description in RNAcentral is "tRNA-Ser". The record is from RNAcentral. Lineage: Bacteria; Bacillati; Actinomycetota; Actinomycetes; Micrococcales; Microbacteriaceae.